Molecule: ribosomal RNA, 503 nt
Filed under: uncultured bacterium
Lineage: Bacteria
Description: partial 16S ribosomal RNA
Rfam family: Bacterial small subunit ribosomal RNA
Source: RNAcentral
AUUGAACGCUGGCGGCAGGCUUAACACAUGCAAGUCGAGCGGAGUGAUGGUGCUUGCACUAUCACUUAGCGGCGGACGGGGUAGUAAUGCUUAGGAAUAUGCCUAUUAGUGGUGGACAACAUCUCGAAAGGGAUGCUAAUACCGCAUACAUCCAACGGUAAAAAGCAGGGGAGCACUUGUGACCUUGCGCUAAUAGAUGAGCCAUAGUCGGAUUAGCUAGGUGGUGGGGUAAAGGCCUACAAAGGCGACGAUGUGUAGCGGGUCUGAGAGGAUGAUCCGCCACACUGGGACUGGGACACGGCCCAGAAUCCUACGGGAGGCAGCAGUGGGGAAUAUUGGACAAUGGGGGGAACCCUGAUCCAGCCAUGCCGCGUGUGUGAAGAAGGCCUUAUGGUUGUAAAGCACUUUAAGCGAGGAGGAGGCUCUUUUGGUUAAUAUCCAAGAUGAGUGGACGUUACUCGCAGAAUAAGCACCGGCUAACUCUGUGCCAGCAGCCGCGGUAA